This 1608-nucleotide ribosomal RNA is filed under the name Candidatus Shikimatogenerans bostrichidophilus. Its description in RNAcentral is "bacterial SSU rRNA". It matches the Rfam family "Bacterial small subunit ribosomal RNA". The record is from RNAcentral. Lineage: Bacteria; Pseudomonadati; Bacteroidota; Flavobacteriia; Flavobacteriales.
UAUUUUAAGAGUUUGAUCCUGGCUCAGGAUAAACGCUAGCGAUUAGCUUUACACAUGCAAGUUGAGGGGAUUAUAAUAUAAAAUUUAUUUUAUAUUGUAACGACCAGCGUACGGGUGAGUAAUACAUAUGUAAUUUACAUUUUGUUAGAAAAUACUUCAAGUAAUAUUGAAUUAAUGUUCUAUAAAGUAAAAAAUUACUAGGAUUUUUUAUAAAAGUUUUUAUUUAAAAAUAAAAAUGACAAAAUAAAAGCAUAUGCCUGAUUAGUUAGUUGGUAAGGUAAUGGCUUACCAAGACAAUGAUCAGUAGGGGGCCUGAGAGGGUGAUCCCCCACACUGGUACUGAGACACGGACCAGACUCCUACGGGAGGCAGCAGUGAGGAAUAUUGGUCAAUGGAGGAAACUCUGAACCAGCUAUUUCGCGUGUAGGAAGAAAACUAUAUAAGUUGUAAACUACUUUUGUAUAAGAAUAAAAAAUUACUUUUUGUAAUAUAUUGAAGUUAUUAUACGAAUAAGCAUCGGCUAACUCUGUGCCAGCAGCCGCGGUAAUACGGAGGAUGCAAGCGUUAUCCGGAAUUAUUGGGUUUAAAGGGUACGUAGGUUGAUAUUUAAGUCAGUAGUGAAAUCUUACAGCUUAACUUAUAAAAAUGCUAUUGAUACUAUUUAUCUAGAGUUAUAAUGGAGUAACUGGAAUGUGUGGUGUAGCGGUGAAAUGCUUAGAUAUCACACAGAACACCAAUCGCGAAGGCAGGUUACUAAUUAUAUACUGACGCUGAGGUACGAAAGCGUGGGGAGCAAACAGGAUUAGAUAUCCUGGUAGUCCACGCCGUAAACGAUGAUCACUAGCUAUUGGAUAAUAUAUUUUUCAGUUGCUAAGCGAAAGUGAUAAGUGAUCCACCUGGGGAGUACGAUCGCAAGAUUGAAACUCAAAGGAAUUGACGGGGGCCCGCACAAGCGGUGGAGCAUGUGGUUUAAUUCGAUGNNNNNNNNNNGAAUUGACGGGGGCCCGCACAAGCGGUGGAGCAUGUGGUUUAAUUCGAUGAUACGCGAGGAACCUUACCAAGAUUUAAAUGUACUACGAAUAAAUUGGAAACAAUUUAGUUCUUCGGACGGAGUACAAGGUGCUGCAUGGUUGUCGUCAGCUCGUGCCGUGAGAUGUUAGGUUAAGUCCUUUAACGAGCGCAACCCUUAUCAUUAGUUGCUAACAGAUAAAGCUGAGAUAUCUAAUGAGACAGCUAACGUAAGUUUAGAGGAAGGUGAGGAUGACGUCAAAUCAUCAUGGCCCUUACAUCUUGGGCUACACACGUGCUACAAUGGUCGGUACAAAAAGCAACCACUAGGUAACUAGGAGUAAAUCUCGAAAACCGAUCUAAGUUCGGAUUGGAGUCUGCAACUCGACUCUAUGAAGCUGGAAUCGCUAGUAAUCGCGCAUCAGCAAUGGCGCGGUGAAUACGUUCCCGGGCCUUGUACACACCGCCCGUCAAGCCAUGGAAGUUAAUGUUACUCAAAAUUGGGUACUUUAAAAAGUAUUAAUUAAAGUAAGAUCAAUGACUGGGGCUAAGUCGUAACAAGGUAGCCGUACCGGAAGAUGUGGCUGGAAAUUAUCCGUU